AGUCUACCACCAUAUAUAGCUAGAGAAGACCAACCUUAAGUUUGAUUAUGAUGGCUUCCUCUCUGGCUGUGUCUGCCACUAGCCUAGUUGUUACCGCUGCUGUAAUGUCUUCCCAUCAAGGAACACACCCAACUUUUUCCUUGCUAAUAACAAAUCCACAUCGCCACUGAAACCCAUCAUCUCAUGCCAUGCCGGUGUUGGUUCCUUGCGAAGCAAGGCUCAUCAGGAUGGUUCUUUGUUCGGCAAGGCUCAUCGGGAUGGUUCCUUGUUUGGCGGCCAGGGUGCCAUGUUCGGCAAGGCUCAUCAGGAUGGUUCCGUGUUUGUCGGUCAGAGUUCAUUGUUCGGGAAGGCUCAUCAGGAUGGUUCCGUGUUUGUCGGCCAGAGUUCAUUGUUCGGCAAGGCUCAUCAGGAUGGUUCCUUGUUCGGCGGCCAGGGUGCCAUGUUCGGCAAGGCUCAUCAGGAUGGUUCCGUGUUUGUCGGCCAGAGUUCAUUGUUUGGCAAGACUCAUCAAGAUGGUUCCUUGUUCGGCGGCCAGGGUGCCAUGUUCGGCAAGGCUCAUCAGGAUGGUUCCGUGUUUGUCGGCCAGAGUUCAUUGUUUGGCAAGGCUCAUCAAGAUGGUUCCUUGUUCGGCGACCAGGGUGCCAUGUUCUGCAAGGCUCAUCAGGAUGGUUCCGUGUUUGUCGGCCAGAGUUCAUUGUUUGGCAAGGCUCAUCAAGAUGGUUCCUUGUUCGGCGACCAGGGUGCCAUGUUCUGCAAGGCUCAUCAGGAUGGUUCCGUGUUUGUCGGCCAGAGUUCAUUGUUUGGCAAGGCUCAUCAAGAUGGUUCCUUGUUCGGCGGCCAGGAUGCCAGGUUCGGCAAGGCUCAUCAAGAUGUCCAUCAGGAUGGUCAUCAUGAUGGUUCCUUGUUCGGCGGCCAAGGUGCCAUGUUCGGCAAGGCUCAUCAGGAUGCCCAUCAGGAUGGUACCUUGUUUGGAAAGGCUCGUGUCGAAGGCGAUUUAGGCGAUGGUUCCUUGUUCGGCAAAGGUCAAGAUGUCAAGAGGGGUGACAACUUUGUUGCAGC
RNAcentral lists this long non-coding RNA (1059 nucleotides) under Linum usitatissimum (flax). Its description in RNAcentral is "long non-coding RNA (LUSI_LNC006108)". The record is from RNAcentral. Lineage: Eukaryota; Viridiplantae; Streptophyta; Magnoliopsida; Malpighiales; Linaceae.